This 253-nucleotide ribosomal RNA is filed under the name uncultured bacterium. RNAcentral describes it as "partial 16S ribosomal RNA". It matches the Rfam family "Bacterial small subunit ribosomal RNA", at positions 524 to 776 of the family's 1533-position model. The record is from RNAcentral.
UACGAAGGGGGCUAGCGUUGCUCGGAAUCACUGGGCGUAAAGCGCACGUAGGCGGAUCUUUAAGUCAGGGGUGAAAUCCCACGGCUCACCCGUGGAACUGCUCGGUAUACUGGGUCGCUUGAGCCACUUAGGGGCUACCGGAACAAAUGGUGGAGCGGUGAAAUGCGUAGAUAUCAUUUGGAACGCCAAUGGUGAAAACAGGUAGCUGGGAGUGUGCUGACGCUGAGACACGAAAGCCAGGGGAGCAAACGGG